GUUUACAACCAUGCCACCCUGAACGUGCCUGAUCUCGUCUGACAUCGGAAGCUAAGCAGGGUUGGGCCUGGUUAGUACUUGGAUGGGAGACCACCUAGGAAGACCAGAUGCUGUAGGCA
This 119-nucleotide ribosomal RNA is filed under the name Pteropus alecto (black flying fox). The record is from RNAcentral. Lineage: Eukaryota; Metazoa; Chordata; Mammalia; Chiroptera; Pteropodidae.